This 501-nucleotide ribosomal RNA is filed under the name uncultured bacterium. RNAcentral's name for it is "partial 16S ribosomal RNA". It matches the Rfam family "Bacterial small subunit ribosomal RNA", at positions 30 to 523 of the family's 1533-position model. The record is from RNAcentral.
AUUGAACGCUGGCGGCAUGCCUUACACAUGCAAGUCGAACGGCAGCACGGGUGCUUGCACCUGGUGGCGAGUGGCGAACGGGUGAGUAAUAUAUCGGAACGUACCUUAUUGGGGGGGAUAACGCAGCGAAAGCCGUGCUAAUACCGCAUAAUCCCUAAGGGGGAAAGCGGGGGACCGUAAGGCCUCGCGCAAUUAGAGCGGCCGAUACCUGAUUAGCUAGUUGGUGAGGUAAAGGCUCACCAAGGCAACGAUCAGUAGCUGGUCUGAGAGGACGAUCAGCCACACUGGGACUGAGACACGGCCCAGACUCCUACGGGAGGCAGCAGUGGGGAAUUUUGGACAAUGGGGGCAACCCUGAUCCAGCAAUGCCGCGUGAGCGAAGAAGGCCUUCGGGUUGUAAAGCUCUUUUGUCAGGGAAGAAACAGCAGCUCUAACACAGUUUGCGAAUGACGGUACCUGAAGAAUAAGCACCGGCUAACUACGUGCCAGCCGCCGCCGUAA